CUUUUUUCGCCCAGGUGGAGCUCGAACGCCCACACAAAUAAUGCUGGAUUUCAUCCAUAACAAUAAAGACCUAUAUGGCGUUGAGCCGAAUUGUAAGAUUUUACCGAUCGC
RNAcentral lists this non-coding RNA (111 nucleotides) under Acinetobacter johnsonii. RNAcentral describes it as "ALIL pseudoknot". It matches the Rfam family "ALIL pseudoknot". Lineage: Bacteria; Pseudomonadati; Pseudomonadota; Gammaproteobacteria; Moraxellales; Moraxellaceae. The record is from RNAcentral.